RNAcentral lists this ribosomal RNA (500 nucleotides) under Geotrichum candidum. RNAcentral describes it as "eukaryotic LSU rRNA". It matches the Rfam family "Eukaryotic large subunit ribosomal RNA", at positions 112 to 654 of the family's 3401-position model. Lineage: Eukaryota; Fungi; Ascomycota; Dipodascomycetes; Dipodascales; Dipodascaceae. The record is from RNAcentral.
AAUUUGAAAUCGGCCUCCAGGUCGAGUUGUAAUUUGUAGAUUGUAUCUUGAGAGCGGAUUAAAGUCUGUUGGAACACAGCGCCUUAGAGGGUGACAGCCCCGUAAAAUCUAUUCUCAUUGUAAGAUACUUUCGAAGAGUCGAGUUGUUUGGGAAUGCAGCUCUAAGUGGGAGGUAAAUUCCUUCUAAAGCUAAAUAUUGACGAGAGACCGAUAGCGAACAAGUACUGUGAAGGAAAGAUGAAAAGCACUUUGAAAAGAGAGUGAAAAAGUACGUGAAAUUGUUAAAAGGGAAGGGUAUUGAAUCAGACUUGGUGCUGUUGUUCAACUGUGUUUCGGCACAGUGUACUCAGCAGUACUAGGCCAAGGUGGGGUGUUUGGGAGUGAAAAAGAAGUUGGAACGUAACUCUUCGGAGUGUUAUAGCCUACUUUCAUAGCUCCUCAGCGCCUCAGGACUGCGCUUCGGCAAGGACCUUGGCAUAAUGAUUCUAUACCGCCCGUCU